RNAcentral lists this non-coding RNA (924 nucleotides) under Scinax quinquefasciatus (Fowler's snouted treefrog). RNAcentral describes it as "partial 12S small subunit ribosomal RNA". It matches the Rfam family "Bacterial small subunit ribosomal RNA". Lineage: Eukaryota; Metazoa; Chordata; Amphibia; Anura; Hylidae. The record is from RNAcentral.
UGGUCCUAGCCUUGUAAUCAGUCUUUACUCAACUUACACAUGCAAGUCUCCGCACCCCUGUGAAAACGCCCUCUAACCCCUUAAGGGACGAGGAGCCGGUAUCAGGCUCAAUCAUUAGCCCAAGACACCUAGCUUUGCCACACCCACAAGGGAAUUCAGCAGUGAUUAACAUUGAUAAUAAGCGCAAGCUUGACUCAGUCAGAGUAAUUAGAGCCGGCAAAUCUGGUGCCAGCCGCCGCGGCUAUACCACGAGGCCCAAACUGAUCCCCUUCGGCGUAAAGCGUGAUUAAAGUGACCCCAGACUGUAGAUAAACUAGUAUUUAGCUGUGAUACGCUGGUUUCUAGGAAAAACAAAAACGAAAGUUGCUACAGCAGAACCCGCUUGACCUCACGACAGCUAAGACACAAACUGGGAUUAGAUACCCCACUAUGCUUAGCCGUAAACCUUAACUUACACCCAAAUCGCCAGGGAACUACGAGCAACGCUUAAAACCCAAAGGACUUGACGGUGCCCCACAUCCACCUAGAGGAGCCUGUCCUAUAAUCGAUAACCCCCGUUCUACCUCACCACUUUUUGCCUAUCAGCCUGUAUACCUCCGUCGUCAGCUUACCACGUGAGCGCCCUCCAGUAAGCGUAAAAGCCCCCCGCUAAAACGUCAGGUCAAGGUGCAGCUAAUGAAGUGGGAAGAGAUGGGCUACACUCUCUAGUUUAGAAGACACAGAAGACUACUCAUGCAACUUAGUCAGAAGGCGGAUUUAGAAGUAAAUGGGGACAAGAGAGCCCCCUUUAACACGGCCCUGGGGUGUGUACACACCGCCCGUCACCCUCUUCGAAGCCUAUAUAUUAGUUUCUUAACACCUCUUAUGCAAAUAAGAAGAGGCAAGUCGUAACAUGGUAAGCUUACCGGAAGGUGUGCUUGGAAA